Molecule: ribosomal RNA, 424 nt
Filed under: uncultured prokaryote
Description: bacterial SSU rRNA
Rfam family: Bacterial small subunit ribosomal RNA
Source: RNAcentral
UCGGGAAUUUUGCGCAAUGGGGGAAACCCUGACGCAGCAACGCCGCGUGAAGGAUGAAGUCCUUCGGGAUGUAAACUUCGAAAGUAUAGGAAGAAUAAAUGACGGUACUAUACAUAAGCUCCGGCUAACUACGUGCCAGCAGCCGCGGUAAUACGUAGGGGGCAAGCGUUGUUCGGAUUUACUGGGCGUAAAGGGUGCGUAGGCGGCGUGGCAAGUCACUUGUGAAAUCUCCGGGCUUAACUCGGAACUGCCAAGUGAUACUGCUGUGCUAGAGUGCAGGAAGGGCAAUCGGAAUUCUUGGUGUAGCGGUGAAAUGCGUAGAUAUCAAGAGGAACACCUGAGGCGAAGGCGGGUUGCUAGACUGACACUGACGCUGAGGCACGAAAGCUAGGGGAGCGAACGGGAUUAGAUACCCCCGUAGUCC